Molecule: long non-coding RNA, 377 nt
Filed under: Olea europaea (common olive)
Lineage: Eukaryota; Viridiplantae; Streptophyta; Magnoliopsida; Lamiales; Oleaceae
Description: long non-coding RNA (OEUR_LNC008334)
Source: RNAcentral
UUUUUUUUUUUUUUUAAAACAUUUAACAAAAAAUAGUUAUUAAAUCUAGUUUCAUUUUUCAUUUUCUUGAUCCUCUAGUCCAUUAUAUUUUUAUUUAAUUCUGUUAUCUGUUAAUUGUUUAAUAAUUUAAUUUUACUUUUAAAACAUAAGCUGAAAACAUGAAGUGACAACAUGGCACUCUUGAAAUUCCAAGAAUUACUCAUUCAUGAGAAAUAGCGCAUAUAGGCUAUAGCCCCCAUUCCAAUUCUCUCUGAAACCGCUAUAAUAGGGUAAAUUGCAUGAUUCCUCAUCGGUGCAUGACUUCUAUAGCAAGUUGGUCAGUUGGUCAUCAACCUUUACAUUGAGUUGUUAUAAUUUUUAGCAUUUCGUUAUUGUAC